CGCCGUCGUCGCCAUUUUUGCCGGUGAAGCCACUCAUAUUCCUUCCGCCUUCAUCUCCACCACAAAUCAUCACCAUUUUCCUUUCCUCCUCCAACAUCCACAAAACCAACAACCUAAGCUACCGCAUCAGAUCUAGCCGAACACCAUCACCAUUUUCGCCUUCAUCUCCGCCGCACACCAUCACCAUUUUCGCCGCCAUGAUUAGAUCCUUGCACCCUCACCCACCAUCACCAUUUUCGCCACCAUGAUUAGAUCCUCGCACCCUCACCCACCUCAUUCUCAUCUCCACUGACUAGCCGCACUCUCUCUCCCCCUACACUGCGUAUCAGUGGUGCCC
This 337-nucleotide long non-coding RNA is filed under the name Solanum tuberosum (potato). Its description in RNAcentral is "long non-coding RNA (STUB_LNC002844)". The record is from RNAcentral. Lineage: Eukaryota; Viridiplantae; Streptophyta; Magnoliopsida; Solanales; Solanaceae.